AGUGAACGCUGGCGGUAGGCCUAACACAUGCAAGUCGAACGGCAGCACAGUAAGAGCUUGCUCUUACGGGUGGCGAGUGGCGGACGGGUGAGGAAUACAUCGGAAUCUACUUUUCGUGGGGGAUAACGUAGGGAAACUUACGCUAAUACCGCAUACGACCUACGGGUGAAAGCAGGGGAUCUUCGGACCUUGCGCGAUUGAAUGAGCCGAUGUCGGAUUAGCUAGUUGGCGGGGUAAAGGCCCACCAAGGCGACGAUCCGUAGCUGGUCUGAGAGGAUGAUCAGCCACACUGGAACUGAGACACGGUCCAGACUCCUACGGGAGGCAGCAGUGGGGAAUAUUGGACAAUGGGCGCAAGUCUGAUCCAGCCAUACCGCGUGGGUGAAGAAGGCCUUCGGGUUGUAAAGCCCUUUUGUUGGGAAAGAAAAGCAGCAGGUUAAUACCCCGCUGUUCUGACGGUACCCAAAGAAUAAGCACCGGCUAACUUCGUG
This 491-nucleotide ribosomal RNA is filed under the name uncultured bacterium. RNAcentral's name for it is "partial 16S ribosomal RNA". It matches the Rfam family "Bacterial small subunit ribosomal RNA", at positions 29 to 507 of the family's 1533-position model. The record is from RNAcentral.